Oncorhynchus tshawytscha (Chinook salmon) is the source of this 3475-nucleotide long non-coding RNA. The record is from Ensembl. NCBI's taxonomy places the organism in Eukaryota, Metazoa, Chordata, Actinopteri, Salmoniformes, Salmonidae.
CGGAUGUUCAUCUUGCUCUGGUUGUUGAGGUGGCUGGCAGUGUUGGUGUUCCCCAUUCUGCGACUGUUGGUCAGCUGUAGAGAGGAGUGAUAGGAGCAGUUAGAGUAGGCCAGGGGUGUGUUCAACUUUCAACUUUAUAUCCUCAUGACAUGUUAAAUGUCAACAGAUGCUGUCGUUACACCCACUCAAAUGGCCUGUUUACUUAACGGUAGUGGAAUCCUCAAAAGUGACUGACCCUCAGCUGACUUGAUGUGGACCGUUGGACAAUAAUUCACUGACUAGCACAGGAAAGAUUCAACCAUGGGUCACGCUUUCCCUGUGUCUGAUGAGAGGAACAGUGAGAUGAAUUGAAAGGAAUUUCUUCCUCUCCUCUUCUCCAGGGGAAGGACUCCCUCCCUCCCGGUCAAGACAAAGGGAGGCCUGUCCUCCAUCUGAGAGUUAAAUGGCCUCCCACUGAGUCACUCCUCACCUCUCCUUUCCUUACUUGUCAUUAUCCUUAGAUUUCUACAAUUCGUUGCUCUGUCCUCUUCUCACCUUUGAAAGGACAAAAUGGGAGCAUGAUGACAUUUGAUGUUGACAGGAAAUGUCAAAAUAGAGAAUGUAAGAUGUUCUUUUGUUGAGGUCUUAUUAGAGAAUCUUAUUGUAACGUUCGUCGUCCUUGCCUGAGGAGGAGUAGGAGCGAUCAGACCAAUAUGCAGCGUGGUACGUCUCCAUGUUAAUAUUUAUUAAACAGAGAACACUAAACAAAAUAACAACGGCGAAUGAAACGAAACAGUUCUGUAAGGUGACAUACACUAAACAGAAAACAACUACGCACAAAUCAAGUGGGGAAAAACAGGCUACCUAAAUAUGGAUCUCAAUCAGAGACAAUGAUUGACAGCUGCCUCUGAUUGAGAACCAUACCAGGCCAAACACAAAACCCAAACUAGAACAACACAUAGAAUGCCCACCCCAACUCACGCCCUGACCAACCUAAACAAGAAACAUAACAAAGGAACUAAGGUCUGGACGUGACAGUUAUUUUGACAUCAUCAUGUCCUUCAAUCAUCUGGAACAGGACAAUAUCUGAUAUCUGUCAUCUAAUCUGUGCCAUCUGUUUAUUUCGAUUGUUUUCAUCAAUCUUUGGAAACCUCAGGUCACCUUCUUUGAACGUUUGAAAAAUAUAAUAUAUACAUUCACUUAAUUUAUGCUAAGAUACCUUCACCAUAUUUACCAUAUUUACCAUAUUUAUCAAUGAUUUAAGCUGUUGUAACUUCUUACCAUGCUAACAUCUUUUCUGUGCUAUUUCAGGGAUAUCACACUUACCUUGAUCUGUAGUAGUUUGAAGUGUGAGAGUUGCUGAGUUGUUGAAACGCUGAAGAACACUUAUGUAGGGAUGAUGCUGGUCAGACACUGAGGCUAUCAUUCUGACUUGGUCCAAAGUCCUCUGAUGGUAUGCAAAUAUCAUCACACCAAUGACACAGCACGUAUUAACUCAAGACAAUGACCAAAAACACACCUCCAGGCUGUGUAAGGGCUAUUUGACCAAGAAGGAGAGUGAUGGAGUGCUGCAUCAGAUGACCUGGCCUCCACAAUCACCCGACCUCAACCCAACUGAGAUGGUUUGGGAUGAGUGGGACCACAAGGAAAAGCAGCCAACAAGGACUCAGCGUAUGUGGGAACUCCUUCAAGACUGUUGGAAAAGCAUUCCAGGUGAAGCAGGUUGAGAGAUUGCAAAGAGUGCGCAAAGCUUUCAUCAAGGCAACGGGUGGCUACUUUGAAGAAUCUAAAAUUAAAUGAGUAAAAAUAUACUUAGUGUAAAGAAAUCCAUACUCUAUAGUUUCACUAAAAGUCUAUUCUAACUCUAUAGUUUCACUGAAAGUCUAUCCAUACUCUAUAGCUUUGUUAUAUAGGGAGUUUCUCAAUAUGCAUUUUACCGUGCUCACACUCUCAUGCUCCAAGUGCAUUCUCAGAGGACUUUCUCUUGAGUACCUUCUUGUGAGGAUGAGACUUUGGAGAACGCAUUAAACAUUACACCUGAGAAGCACUUGCACUACUCCUACUGUAGUACCUCACACUGCAUCUCCCCAUUCACUGAACCUUCUUCCAGCCAGGACAAUGGCAACAAUAGAGACGAAAGAAGAUAUACACAAAGCAAAUGUUUAACUUAAUAAUUAUCAACUAGAUAUUUGUGAAUCGUUGUAAUCUAGCUAGACAGCUAGCUAAUUAAACAGGCAAAAAUGGCCUAAAACCAAUGUUAUCCAAUGUAGAUAUAAAUUCUUUAUUGGUAGCUAGCUAAUAAUUCUUCAUGGCUAUCUGGCUAGCUAACAGUAGUAGCUAGCCAGUUAGCUCUAUUGACUUACUAUGGGCUUGUUACCUACGCACACUACAGUGGGUAUUGUAGGCAGGUAACCAUGCCAAAAUUAACACAGAAUGUAUUUAUUAAUGUAUCAAGAUAAAAUAUUGUAGUCAGGCAACAUAUGAGAUGUGAAUAGGCAACAUUUCAUUCCCGAAGGAGUGUAUUUUCUCUCGCUUCAGCUCAAGUAAUGGCCGCCGUUGAUUUCAAGAAAAUGUGGUUGCUUCAUAUUUAUUUUCAUACUUACCUUUGAAGCUUGCAUCGAUGCAUGCUUCAAAAUAUGUACAAACGGACUAUGCAUUCGAGAAACACCUUCCAUGCUCUGUUUCACAUACUUUUAUUUGGCCUCGUACUCCGACCCUCCCAUGCUUCAAUUUGCAUGCUCGGAGCACGGUAGAAUGCAUUUUGAGGCACACCCAUUGUGUGCAUAUUCAAAGUGAAAGGUAUAACAUUCAACAAAGAUAAGCUCUUGAUACCCUUCUCUGGAGCUUUUGGAUGCCUUGGAACACUUCCAUUUGGCACAAUGAGGCUGUGGUGGAUACCAGUGUCUUUGGUUGUCUUUGCCCUAUACCCGUCUGGCCAGGGGGGCUGGCCAACAGGCAACACCAGUUUAGGUUCUUGUAGGAGCCUUCUUCUCAACGGACAGGCCCCGGAUGGUUUGAAGCUGAUGAAAAGCAGAACGGACCACAUCUGCAAGUGCUACAGUAGGAGAUGUGUGUAUGUGGCUUUUCUGCACAGGCAAAGACACACUCCUCUCUACUGGGCUUACAGAAUCCUGGAUGACCACGUGCACAAUUUCUCACAACUGGAUCUACUGGAUAGGAUCGGUAGCUUGUACAUCCCAUCAUUGGUAUGCUCACGUUUCCCUUUAAUUGUUAAUUAUCCUUUGUCCUUUGGGUGGAAUAAUACAUCGAUUUUAUUAUUUUCAAAUCAUUUAGUUUUAGGUUGCUGUGAGAGGUUUCAUAUAGGCUUGUCAUUGGCUGCCCUCUGUGGCUUUAGUCAUCAUGUGCUUCAUAAUAAGGACAUUGAAAUGCCAUACAGAUCAAGUGAAACACAGUCAGGCAAUGAGCACUAGAAUUGCAAUGGCCUGGCUUUAUGAUGAGCCCAUGUUUGAUUUGUAUUAGCAUGUUAACAUGCAAC